AAAAUUCUAUUUCCCAUUUGAGGUAGGGGAAGAACACUCGCACACUAACUCGGUUUCCACUUCCCGGAGGUGGAAGUUCCGGUGGCAGCCGCAGGCGGCGCAGGUGAGUGCACUGCUGGUUCCCUCUUCACCGCUCGCCAUGAACUCUCUGCACCCAUCAACAGCAUACCCUCCAACACCCGCAGCGUGAUUCUUCUGACACUCUCCAUACCUCACACUCCUCACUGUGAAAGAUGAAUUAGCUGAGCUUCUUGAUGGCUCAUCUCUCCUAAGCACAACUUGACGCUUCCUC
This 292-nucleotide long non-coding RNA is filed under the name Vitis vinifera (wine grape). RNAcentral describes it as "long non-coding RNA (VVIN_LNC004900)". The record is from RNAcentral. Lineage: Eukaryota; Viridiplantae; Streptophyta; Magnoliopsida; Vitales; Vitaceae.